Molecule: ribosomal RNA, 493 nt
Filed under: uncultured bacterium
Lineage: Bacteria
Description: bacterial SSU rRNA
Rfam family: Bacterial small subunit ribosomal RNA
Source: RNAcentral
AUGAACGCUGGCGGCGUGCUUAACACAUGCAAGUCGAACGGAGUUCUGAUGUGUGAAGCGAAGUAGCUUGCUAUGGAGUGGAACUUUUCAGAACUUAGUGGCGGACGGGUGAGUAACGCGUGGGUAACCUGCCGUAUGCAGGGGGACAACAGCUGGAAACGGCUGCUAAUACCUCAUAUUGAGUUUUAAUCGCAUGAUUUAAACUUGAAAGAUUUAUCGCUUAUGGAUGGACUCGCGUCUGAUUAGCUAGUUGGUGAGGUAACGGCCCACCAAGGCGACGAUCAGUAGCCGGACUGAGAGGUUGACCGGCCACAUUGGGACUGAGAUACGGCCCAGACUCCUACGGGAGGCAGCAGUGGGGAAUAUUGGGCAAUGGGCGCAAGCCUGACCCAGCAACGCCGCGUGAAGGAAGAAGGCUUUCGGGUUGUAAACUUCUUUUGUCGAGGAAGAGUAGAAGACUGUACUCGGCGAAUAAGCCACGGCUAACUACGUG